Molecule: transfer RNA, 72 nt
Filed under: Camelus bactrianus (Bactrian camel)
Lineage: Eukaryota; Metazoa; Chordata; Mammalia; Artiodactyla; Camelidae
Also listed under: 3 other names
Rfam family: tRNA
About the family: Transfer RNA (tRNA) molecules are approximately 80 nucleotides in length.
Source: Rfam by way of RNAcentral
GAGGGGAGAGAUCAGUGGUAGAGCGCGUGCUUAGCAUGCACGAGGUCCUGGGUUCAAUCCCCAGUGCCUCCA